UCUCUGGCCUUUGGACUGUGACUGAAUUGCAGUGGCAGCUUUCCUGAGUCUCCCGCUGGCAGAGAGCAGAUGGCAGGACUUCUUGGCCUCCAAUCAUCAUAUUUAGGACAACUAUGAAGCGCCAUCUUAGUCCCAAACUUCCCGGGGGAUUGAGUAUAUGCACGUGGAGAGUCAUGCGUGAGUACAGAGGUGGGCCGGGAUGGCUGUCAGGGCCCAAAAUGUUCACUUGGAAGAUAACAGAAUGUACGUGGUGUAAAAAGUCUUGAGUCCAGGUAAUAGGACCUAGGGAGAAAGUACAUAGAAAAGGGUGGAGGACUGAGCUUGGGGCACUCCAUCACCAGCUGGAUGGCGGGGAGAGGCGAGGAAAGGCAGCAGUGUGUGGUGCUGCAGAGGGGCUGUGUCAAAGGGGAGGGCUGCUGGGAGCUGGGGAACAGGACGCUAGGAUGUCCACGCAACCUGAUGCCAUGAAGUCAUUGGUGACCUGUCAAGAAGAGUGUUACUGCGAAGCAGAGGGCAAAAGCCAAGGGAGUUCAUGACCAGAGGAAGUGCUUGGUCCCCAACAGAUGCCUACUCGAAACUUGCUGAUGGAGAGCUUGUCAAUUUCAUCUAACAAACCGGAAUCACUGGGGCCAUCCAGGAAUCACAGCAGCUCAUGAAGAAAUUCCACGCGAACAGGGCUGUUAAAAGCCAACCCGCCAGAAAGGGUAGAACGGAGGAAGGACAAGAGGGUUCUAACACCUCCUGGAGGCAGAGCACCCACGGAAGUUUCUCAACACUUCUCGUUGAUUCAAGUGGAAGUGAGUAAAUUCCCUGACAU
RNAcentral lists this long non-coding RNA (817 nucleotides) under Pan troglodytes (chimpanzee). RNAcentral's name for it is "long non-coding RNA NONPTRT005530". Lineage: Eukaryota; Metazoa; Chordata; Mammalia; Primates; Hominidae. The record is from RNAcentral.